GUGGGGAAUAUUGGACAAUGGGCGAAAGCCUGAUCCAGCCAUGCCGCGUGUGUGAAGAAGGUCUUCGGAUUGUAAAGCACUUUAAGUUGGGAGGAAGGGCAUUAACCUAAUACGUUAGUGUUUUGACGUUACCGACAGAAUAAGCACCGGCUAACUUCGUGCCAGCAGCCGCGGUAAUACGAAGGGUGCAAGCGUUAAUCGGAAUUACUGGGCGUAAAGCGCGCGUAGGUGGUUCGUUAAGUUGGAUGUGAAAGCCCCGGGCUCAACCUGGGAACUGCAUCCAAAACUGGCGAGCUAGAGUACGGUAGAGGGUGGUGGAAUUUCCUGUGUAGCGGUGAAAUGCGUAGAUAUAGGAAGGAACACCAGUGGCGAAGGCGACCACCUGGACUGAUACUGACACUGAGGUGCGAAAGCGUGGGGAGCAAACAGGAUUAGAUACCCGAGUAGUCC
This 450-nucleotide ribosomal RNA is filed under the name uncultured bacterium. Its description in RNAcentral is "partial 16S ribosomal RNA". It matches the Rfam family "Bacterial small subunit ribosomal RNA", at positions 354 to 796 of the family's 1533-position model. The record is from RNAcentral.